GAUGAACGCUAGCGGCAGGCUUAACACAUGCAAGUCGAGGGACAGCGCGAUGUAGCAAUACAUUGGCGGCGACCGGCGCACGGGUGCGUAACACGUAUGGAAUCUGCCCUUUACUGGGGGAUAGCCCGGAGAAAUCCGGAUUAAUACCCCAUAAUAAUCGAGGUGGCAUCACCUUGAUUUGAAAGCUCCGGCGGUAAAGGAUGACCAUGCGCACGAUUAGCUAGUAGGUGAGGUAACGGCUCACCUAGGCUACGAUCGUUAGGGGGCCUGAGAGGGUUAUCCCCCACACUGGUACUGAGACACGGACCAGACUCCUACGGGAGGCAGCAGUGAGGAAUAUUGCGCAAUGGAGGCAACUCUGACGCAGCCAUGCCGCGUGAGGGAAGAAGGUCCUCUGGAUUGUAAACCUCUUUUGGCGGGAAACAAACCUGCGCUAUACGCGCAGCUGAGGGUACCUGCAGAAUAAGCACCGGCUAACUCCGUGCCAG
RNAcentral lists this ribosomal RNA (488 nucleotides) under uncultured bacterium. Its description in RNAcentral is "bacterial SSU rRNA". It matches the Rfam family "Bacterial small subunit ribosomal RNA", at positions 28 to 511 of the family's 1533-position model. The record is from RNAcentral.